Non-coding RNA from Bemisia tabaci, 3658 nucleotides. NCBI's taxonomy places the organism in Eukaryota, Metazoa, Arthropoda, Insecta, Hemiptera, Aleyrodidae. The record is from RefSeq and is a predicted model, not a curated record.
UUUGUCAUGUUUUCUUCUUUUCUUCUUGUGAUAUCGAACGAAAUUCUUGGUUUUGCUGACUGUGCGAUUGUUUCCUUCACGAUUUUAAGCCCCUAAUAUGUCGCGGGAAGUCAAGAUUUUUUCCGGACCACGAUAUCCAUAUUUUACGGCACAUGGCACUUCCUGUUGCCUGCUCAUUUCAAAUGUACUUUACCACGUCGGCAAAGGGAACUUAAAUCUAUCAUACAUAUAUCCUGGAACUUGAUUCAUCUGCAGGGAGAAAGCCAUGUUCAAAGGUUGUACCAUUUGUUGCUCACCAUGUGAUCUGUUGCAUCCGAGUCCAGCAUCAAUGAACUAAACAGGUCCACUCCAUCUCUCUGGAUGUAUAAAAGUGUUCUAUCUCCUGAGGUUAUCACCGUGACUUUCUUCUUACCUUUCACAUCUCCGAAGAAUGAGAAGAUCAAGGAUCUUUGAACAUCAGAUCCCUCAAAUCCACUUGCAACCUUAUUGACCAAUUGGAAAAGUAUCCUGUCAGAAUGCAGUCGACAGCAAACUUGCUGAUAGUGAUGCGCUACAGGAACACUUAAGGAUUCAGCAUGCAGACAUGAGCUACAGCAAUCUAUUGGCUUGUUUUAGAAAAACAACGAAAUGACAAUCAAAGAUGAACUGUAGCUGGAUUAAAAAGGUUUGCAACGAUAACCGCAGAAAACACGAGGCCUCCUUUAGAAAGUGCAUAGUAUUUAACUGCUGUGAACUCAUCACUUCCUCACUGUAAGCCUUGUGAUUAUUUAGAAACUUUUCUAAACUUAAAAAUAACCAAUUUUCAUGAAUGUCAUCGAUGAUGGCACAGCCAUGUCAACUUAGGUCUUUAAUUUGGCCUAAAGUAAUUGUCCCUCAGCGCCAAAAAGCUUUUCCUUAAUUCAACUUCCUCACCUACUGCGCACCUCUUUUUGUCUCUUGAACAUUUUCAUGUAUCAGAGUUGGUGUGUUUUCAUUCUCACGGUUUCAAUUGUGAAUGCAUUUAAGGUUCCAAUACACUUUUAAAUGGAGCCCUCCUCUUUCCUAAUGUAAACUCCAGUUUUCUGUCUCACAUUUUUACAAGUAACAACCUGCCUGAGUCACCUUAAAUGUAUUUCAAAAUGUUACUCACAAACGGCAAGAAAAAAGUAUGAGGCAACUAUAAUUUUUUUAUGGGCAUUACCGCAAAAAAGGUGUGAUUUCAUUUCAGAAAACUUGAAAAUUAAAAGUUGAACAAAGUGGCCCAAGUUUUGUUUUUUUUGUUACUUCAUACUGUGUAUUUUCAAAAUAGCAUAACGGUCCCAAACUUUUUUACACCUUAGACUUGAAUUCUGUAAAAUUCAUGUGAUAAGAUUUAAAAAAGCUCAAGACUGUCGCAAGCUCUUCCAACUGAUUCUGUUUUCAAAUACUCAUGAUUAGGGGCACUGUAUGCACAUAUUUUUUCGGCUCAAGAUCUCAACUAACAAAAAAAAAACCAAAAUAACAUGUGCAGUACCAACCAAUUACCAUAAAACUAUGCUAUGUUGCCAAAUUUACCAAAAAACUGCAACUUGCAUCUUCAUUUUUUUCAAAUUUUAUAAUACUCCAGCAAGUAUUUCAAAUAAAAAAAAUAACGAACGUGGAGAAAUGUAAGCACUACCUAUACCUACUUACUAGGCUCGGUGAGGUACUUUAUACCUAGGAAUGAGAAAGUAAAAAUAGGAAAAAGAGGAGCAAAGCAUUUACAGCCCAUCAAAUACUACAAUAAAUACUUAAGUUAUGCGCCUUUUUCGUAACAAUAUUAAGAGUAAUAAUGAGAAACUAACGGUUUACGAAUAUUAAUAUUUUGAGGUAGAGGAACUUAAAGUGGAGAAUAUUAGGAUACUAUUCGUCAAAAACUGCAAAAAAAUAGAAACUUUUGACGAAACUAAAAAAUUUAAAUUUAUAGAAAAUUCAAGAAAGAACCCAAACUUAACAGGACUAACAGUUUUGACGUUCAAACUUUGGCAACAGCUUUCAGUCUACUGAGCACGUUAGGCAAGUUUCAAAUUACCAAUCAGAACAUCAGUAUUUUAACAAAAACAGGAUGAUAUGUAAGGUAACUCACAUUUUCAAAAGAAAACAGCCGCAAAGAACAUUUUUUUGGAGGGCUUAAAAUACUUAAAAUACCAUUAAAUUUAAUUUUCUGUAAAUCUUCCACUGAUGGCCAAAGAAAAAAUUGACGUGAGGGAGACAUGAAUGAUAUUUCUGCUGACUGUUCAGUCAAAUCUUUUUAGAGCUUUCAACAACUUGCAUCUGUGUUGAAGUUGCCUUAGUCGUUUUGAUUGCAUCUGCUCUUGAUAAUUCUCUUUUGCGACAAGUAUAAUUCUGUUGCUUGAAUUAAAGUUGAAUGUGACACGUUUCUCUUGGUUGUGAUUACACUCGAGUUGACCCAGGCAUUCAUUACAGGAUAGAUGCCUUAUUGCUAAACCAUUCCAAUUGAGCGAAUUUAAAACGAUUUGGUGUAAAUACAUCAUACCGGGAAUAGGUUUUAAAUUUUGGUCUAAGAGAAUUUUAUCGACUUCUGUGAUAGCUGACUUCUCGAUAGCAAUAACGUCGAUCUUGACACGCUGUAAAGAGUAAUUUGCAUGCAAAGUGGUUGAGAAACAGGCAUCCACCACAAGCUUAAAGUUUUGGAGAACCUCUACAAAUGGUAAGCAUGCAAGCAAGUCUUGCCUUAAUAAAUCUACCUUUUUCAAUAAAAUACGACUAGAGUUCCCAUUGAAUUCAGGCAACUUGAAUAAAUAAAGUUUUGAUUUAUCUACUUCAAUUGAUUCGAAAGCUUGACUCCUCUCUUUCGCCAAUCAGGCCUAUGUGCAAUUUGUUUGUUUUUUACAUGGCCCUUUACCGUUCACCUGAAUAUUCGUCAAUAUAGAUGUUAACUGCUUAUAAGACUGUAGGUGUUGCCUGCAGGGAUUCUCAUAGCCAGCUAUGAGGAAUCAUACAGCUAGCUGUAAGCAAAAUUACUGUUCGUCUACUUGGAUAUUUUUUUAUGAGUUUCAUACAGCUCUACAUCUUCAUUUCACAAGUUAUUUCUGCAUAAAAGAACUUGAAUGAUAGGUCAGAAUUUUAUUCGGUUAAUAUAAUAAAAAUAGUUUUGUUACCUCAAUUGAAAGUUUAAUGCUUACGUCUUCUAAGAAGAUUAACCGAAACAGUCAUCCACGGCACUCGGACCGCAGGCAGUCGUGACCGGUCACGAGAAACGCGAAUGAAGUUAAUUAAAUAGAGAGACGAUUUUUUUACUUUUGUCACUCCCUUUCUUUUAUCCCCAAUCAACCUCUCCUCACUUCUACUCCUUGGUGGCAACCUUACCUUAGGUGUCCCCGAGCCUACUCCCACCUCGCUUCUCACACUACCAGACCUCAGUUUUUUUCCCUCACUUACAAUCGCCGGACUAUCCCCCAUUUUUUUCUUUCCCCCAUCCCCCGCUGGGCUAUCCACCUUACUCUUCCCUAGAUCCCCUAUCUUUUUCCUGAUAGCACUCGCCAUACUAAAUUGAUUCACUCUAACCUCUACCACACUAUCGUUCGUUUGUCCAGCCACACGCUUCACACACACAACACUCACUAGUUACACUCUAAGAUCACUUACCCUACAAGAUCACUAGACAACCAUCACAAAAAACCGAAACAAAAAACAAGAA